AUGAACGCUGGCGGCGUGCCUAAUACAUGCAAGUCGAGCGAACGGACGAGAAGCUUGCUUCUCUGAUGUUAGCGGCGGACGGGUGAGUAACACGUGGAUAACCUACCUAUAAGACUGGGAUAACUUCGGGAAACCGUAGCUAAUACCGGAUAAUAUUUUGAACCGCAUGGUUCAAAAGUGAAAGACGGUCUUGCUGUCACUUAUAGAUGGAUCCGCGCUGCAUUAGCUAGUUGGUAAGGUAACGGCUUACCAAGGCAACGAUGCAUAGCCGACCUGAGAGGGUGAUCGGCCACACUGGAACUGAGACACGGUCCAGACACCUACGGGAGGCAGCAGUAGGGAAUCUUCCGCAAUGGGCGAAAGCCUGACGGAGCAACGCCGCGUGAGUGAUGAAGGUCUUCGGAUCGUAAAACUCUGUUAUUAGGGAAGAACAUAUGUGUAAGUAACUGUGCACAUCUUGACGGUACCUAAUCAGAAAGCCACGGCUAACUACGUG
Molecule: ribosomal RNA, 496 nt
Filed under: uncultured bacterium
Lineage: Bacteria
Description: partial 16S ribosomal RNA
Rfam family: Bacterial small subunit ribosomal RNA
Source: RNAcentral